This is a long non-coding RNA of Neltuma alba, 274 nucleotides long. RefSeq lists it as uncharacterized. Lineage: Eukaryota; Viridiplantae; Streptophyta; Magnoliopsida; Fabales; Fabaceae. The transcript is spliced from 2 exons. The record is from RefSeq and is a predicted model, not a curated record.
ACAAGUUCUAACCUGCAGCCAAUUUUAGUCCCGCUGCAGAGCCAGGCAAAGGACAACUGUGUUGGAAGAUAAUUGAAGUGUUUAGAUAAAAACAAAAUUAUAAUUUAAAAAGUAUUUUUAAAAAUUUGAUUUAAUUUAAAAAAAAUACUUUUAGAAAUUGCUUUUGGUUAUUCAAACACCCUAAUGUCAUAGGUCAUGAGAUUGGUGUCAAGAUUAGAAGGGUGUUUGAAAUUGAGGAUAGGCUAAAAAUUGAGGCUCUCCGCUCUUUUUUCAC